RNAcentral lists this transfer RNA (71 nucleotides) under Myxococcales bacterium. RNAcentral's name for it is "tRNA-Ala". It matches the Rfam family "tRNA". From Rfam's summary of the family: Transfer RNA (tRNA) molecules are approximately 80 nucleotides in length. Their secondary structure includes four short double-helical elements and three loops (D, anti-codon, and T loops). The record is from RNAcentral. Lineage: Bacteria; Pseudomonadati; Myxococcota; Myxococcia; Myxococcales.
GGGGCCGUAGUUCAACAGGAGAACCCUGGUCUUGCAAACCAGUGAUGAGGGUGCGACUCCCUUCGGUUUCC